RNAcentral lists this ribosomal RNA (253 nucleotides) under uncultured bacterium. RNAcentral describes it as "partial 16S ribosomal RNA". It matches the Rfam family "Bacterial small subunit ribosomal RNA", at positions 524 to 776 of the family's 1533-position model. The record is from RNAcentral.
UACGAAGGGUGCAAGCGUUAAUCGGAAUUACUGGGCGUAAAGCGUGCGUAGGCGGUUUCUUAAGUCUGCUGUGAAAGCCCCGGGCUCAACCUGGGAAUGGCGGUGGAUACUGAGAAGCUGGAGUACGGUAGAGGAAGGUGGAAUUCCCGGUGUAGCGGUGAAAUGCGUAGAGAUCGGGAGGAACAUCAGUGGCGAAGGCGGCCUUCUGGACCAGUACUGACGCUGAGGCACGAAAGCGUGGGGAGCAAACAGG